This 292-nucleotide ribosomal RNA is filed under the name uncultured prokaryote. Its description in RNAcentral is "partial 16S ribosomal RNA". It matches the Rfam family "Bacterial small subunit ribosomal RNA", at positions 505 to 796 of the family's 1533-position model. The record is from RNAcentral.
GUGUCAGCAGCCGCGGUAAUACGUAGGGGGCAAGCGUUGUCCGGAAUUAUUGGGCGUAAAGGGCACGCAGGCGGUUCCUUAAGUCUGAUGUGAAAGCCCGUGGCUCAACCACGGAUGGCCAUUGGAAACUGGGGAACUUGAGAACUGAAGAGGAGAGUGGAAUUCCACGUGUAGCGGUGAAAUGCGUAGAUAUGUGGAGGAACACCAGUGGCGAAGGCGACUCUCUGGUCGGUUUCUGACGCUGAGGCGCGAAAGCGUGGGUAGCAAACAGGAUUAGAUACCCUGGUAGUCC